RNAcentral lists this ribosomal RNA (404 nucleotides) under Actinomycetes bacterium. Its description in RNAcentral is "Actinobacteria bacterium partial 16S ribosomal RNA". It matches the Rfam family "Bacterial small subunit ribosomal RNA", at positions 355 to 776 of the family's 1533-position model. The record is from RNAcentral. Lineage: Bacteria; Bacillati; Actinomycetota; Actinomycetes.
UGGGGAAUAUUGGACAAUGGGCGCAAGCCUGAUCCAGCCAUGCCGCGUGAGUGAUGAAGGCCCUCGGGUUGUAAAGCUCUUUCACCGGUGAAGAUAAUGACGGUAACCGGAGAAGAAGCCCCGGCUAACUUCGUGCCAGCAGCCGCGGUAAUACGAAGGGGGCUAGCGUUGUUCGGAUUUACUGGGCGUAAAGCGCACGUAGGCGGACUUUUUAGUCAGGGGUGAACUCCCGGGGCUCAACCCAGGAACUGCCUUUGAUACUGGAAGUCUGGAGUAUGGUAGUGGGGAGUGGAAUUCCGUGUGUAGAGGUGAAAUUCGUAGAUAUGCGGAGGAACACCAGUGGCGAAGGCGGCUAACUGGACCAGUACUGACGCUGAGGUGCGAAAGCGUGGGGAGCAAACAGG